UGUACCUUGGCUUUCCCUCAGAUGACAUGAA
Molecule: non-coding RNA, 31 nt
Filed under: Homo sapiens (human)
Lineage: Eukaryota; Metazoa; Chordata; Mammalia; Primates; Hominidae
Source: RNAcentral